RNAcentral lists this ribosomal RNA (382 nucleotides) under uncultured eukaryote. Its description in RNAcentral is "partial 18S ribosomal RNA". It matches the Rfam family "Eukaryotic small subunit ribosomal RNA", at positions 592 to 976 of the family's 1831-position model. The record is from RNAcentral.
UGUAAGCGUAUACCAAAGUUGUUGCAGUUAAAACGCUCGUAGUCGGAAUUUGGCAGUUCCGGAUGUGUGCACGUCGUGUGCGCACUUCGCGGGGAUUGCUUUUGUGGUCUUGCGUAGGAUGAGGCACUUUUAUUAGUGAACGUCCUCAUGCAACCACUUUUUACUGUGAGAAAAUCAGAGUGCUCAAAGCAGGCAUUUGCCGUGAAUGUAUUAGCAUGGAAUAAUAGAAUAGGACUUGGUUCUAUUUUGUUGGUUUGUUGGGACUGAGUAAUGAUUAAGAGGGACAGUUGGGGGCAUUUGUAUUUCGGUGCUAGAGGUGAAAUUCUUAGAUUACCGAAAGACAAACUGCUGCGAAAGCGUCUGCCAAGGAUGUUUUCAUUGA